RNAcentral lists this ribosomal RNA (465 nucleotides) under uncultured bacterium. RNAcentral describes it as "partial 16S ribosomal RNA". It matches the Rfam family "Bacterial small subunit ribosomal RNA", at positions 28 to 507 of the family's 1533-position model. The record is from RNAcentral.
GACGAACGCUGGCGGCGUGCUUAACACAUGCAAGUCGUACGGUAAGGCCCUUUCGGGGGUACACGAGUGGCGAACGGGUGAGUAACACGUGAGUAACCUGCCCACAACUUUGGGAUAACGCUAGGAAACUGGUGCUAAUACUGGAUAUGUGCUCCUGCUGCAUGGUGGGGGUUGGAAAGCUCCGGCGGUUGUGGAUGGACUCGCGGCCUAUCAGCUUGUUGGUGGGGUAGUGGCCUACCAAGGCGGCGACGGGUAGCCGGCCUGAGAGGGUGACCGGCCACAUUGGGACUGAGGUACGGCCCAGGCUGCUACGGGAGGCAGCAGUGGGGAAUAUUGCACAAUGGGCGCAAGCCUGAUGCAGCAACGCCGCGUGCGGGAUGACGGCCUUCGGGUUGUAAACCGCUUUCAGCAGGGACGAAGCUUUUUGUGACGGUACCUGCAGAAGAAGCACCGGCUAACUACGUG